Molecule: ribosomal RNA, 381 nt
Filed under: uncultured eukaryote
Lineage: Eukaryota
Description: partial 18S ribosomal RNA
Rfam family: Eukaryotic small subunit ribosomal RNA
Source: RNAcentral
CAAUAGCGUAUAUUAAAGUUGUUGCGGUUAAAAAGCUCGUAGUUGGAUUUCUGCCGAGGACGACCGGUCCGCCCUCUGGGUGUGUAUCUGGUUUGGCCUGGGCAUCUUCUUGGAGAACGUAGCUGCACUUGACUGUGUGGUGCGGUGUCCAGGACUUUUACUUUGAGGAAAUUAGAGUGUUUCAAGCAGGCACACGCCUUGAAUACAUUAGCAUGGAAUAAUAAGAUACGACUUGUGUGGUCUAUUUUGUUGGUUUGCACACGCAAGUAAUGAUUAAUAGGGACAGUUGGGGGUAUUCAUAUUUCAGCGUCAGAGGUGAAAUUCUUGGAUCGCUGAAAGAUGAGCUUAGGCGAAAGCAUUUACCAUGGAUGUUUUCAUUAA